This 67-nucleotide transfer RNA is filed under the name Scolytinae sp. BMNH 1040319. RNAcentral describes it as "tRNA-Asn". The record is from RNAcentral. Lineage: Eukaryota; Metazoa; Arthropoda; Insecta; Coleoptera; Curculionidae.
UUAAUUGAAACCAAAGCAUGAGGUAUAUUAUUGUUAAUAAUAUCAUAGAUUUUAUAAUCCAAUUAAA